AUUAAAUUGAAGAGUUUGAUCAUGGCUCAGAUUGAACGCUGGCGGUAGGCUUAACACAUGCAAGUCGUGCGAGAAAGUAUCUUCGGAUAUGAGUAGAGCG
This 100-nucleotide ribosomal RNA is filed under the name Gammaproteobacteria bacterium TMED226. Its description in RNAcentral is "partial 16S ribosomal RNA". It matches the Rfam family "Bacterial small subunit ribosomal RNA", at positions 1 to 97 of the family's 1533-position model. Lineage: Bacteria; Pseudomonadati; Pseudomonadota; Gammaproteobacteria. The record is from RNAcentral.